UAGGGAAUCUUCGGCAAUGGACGGAAGUCUGACCGAGCAACGCCGCGUGAGUGAAGAAGGUUUUCGGAUCGUAAAGCUCUGUUGUAAGAGAAGAACGAGUGUGAGAGUGGAAAGUUCACACUGUGACGGUAUCUUACCAGAAAGGGACGGCUAACUACGUGCCAGCAGCCGCGGUAAUACGUAGGUCCCGAGCGUUGUCCGGAUUUAUUGGGCGUAAAGCGAGCGCAGGCGGUUAGAUAAGUCUGAAGUUAAAGGCUGCGGCUUAACCAUAGUACGCUUUGGAAACUGUUUAACUUGAGUGCAAGAGGGGAGAGUGGAAUUCCAUGUGUAGCGGUGAAAUGCGUAGAUAUAUGGAGGAACACCGGUGGCGAAAGCGGCUCUCUGGCUUGUAACUGACGCUGAGGCUUGAAAGCGUGGGGAGCAAACAGGAUUAGAUACCCUGGUAGUCCACGCCGUAAACGAUGAGUGCUAGGUGUUAGACCCUUUCCGGGGUUUAGUGCCGCAGCUAACGCAUUAAGCACUCCGCCUGGGGAGUACGACCGCAAGGUUG
RNAcentral lists this ribosomal RNA (550 nucleotides) under uncultured bacterium. Its description in RNAcentral is "bacterial SSU rRNA". It matches the Rfam family "Bacterial small subunit ribosomal RNA", at positions 355 to 896 of the family's 1533-position model. The record is from RNAcentral.